Molecule: non-coding RNA, 2684 nt
Organism: Leptonychotes weddellii (Weddell seal)
Lineage: Eukaryota; Metazoa; Chordata; Mammalia; Carnivora; Phocidae
Source: RefSeq, a predicted model, not a curated record
CCACAAAAAAACCCCAAUAUGCUUAAGAAUUAUGAGAAAAGGAAAUAUGGCUGAAAAGAUGUGAAUAGCCAUAACUGACAUGCUGAAUAUUUUUUAAGUUAACAGGACUGGAGGAGUCAGGAAAUUAUUCAUCUACUACACUUGGUAUUGCUUAUAUUCUUAAACCAUUUAUUUCCAGGUUUUUAUAACCUAGAUAUGUCCUUAUCAAAUCAGUCAUUAACAAGAUAUUACACUGGGUGCUUUUCAUCUAAAUAGCAUGAUUCCAUACAAAAUUCAGCCAUCUCAAAUUUAUUCUGUGCACAACAGUAUUAUCACAAAGCAUUAGUUUCCUGUUUUCUUUACUGCCUCAUUCAUCACACUUGGGAGUAGGCUAGUUCUAUAACUUCUAACGUAAAUAAGAAUCUGUUCUAUUAUUUUAAUGAUUACAUAUGAAGAUUACAGUAAAUAUGGAAUUUCUACAGCAAAAAAAAGUGGCUUCCAAAAGAGAAAAAGAAACGUCAAAGGUCUACAGAAUUAAGCUUUUAAUUAUGUAUGUAUGCAUAUAUACCUAUGUUUGUAUUUACUUAACUGUAAUCUUUUUCUAGUCAAUGACUGCAAAGUGGUAUCUCAAUACAGUCCCUUACCAUGGUUUGAUUCACAAAUUUUCAACUUUAUAAUGAGGCAAAAGCAAUGUGCAUUCAGCAGAAACCGUACUUCCAAUUUUGAUUUAGGAUUUUCUUCUGGGCUAGUGAUAUGUGAUAAUGAAAUCCACGAAAUCACCAGCAUCAACAACCAAUACAUGUAUAGCUAUUCUGCACCAAUACAACUAUUCUGUUUUCACCUUCAAUACAGUAUUCAAUAAAUUAGGUGAGAUAUUUGUUAUAAACUAGGCUUUGUUUUAGAUGAUCUUGCCCAACUAUAGGCUAAUGUAAGUGUUCUAAGCACGUUUAAGGUAGGCUAGACUAAGCUAUGAUGUUCUUUAGGUUAGGUAUAUUAAAUGCAUUAGCAACUUAACAAUAUUUUCAACUUCUGAUGGGUUUGUUGUGGCAUAACCCCAUCAUAAAGUGAGGAAGAACUGUAUACACUCAUAGAAUUAUAAGUAGAAAGGCUUUUUCAAGGCUCACUCUGUUCACCACACGUCUCUAGGAACUUCCGAUUAGGUCAUUCUAUAUACUGCUUGUUUUUAGUACCAGGAAGUAUUAUGGAAGAUGAUUUUAAAAGUUUUACCAUAUGUUUUUAAUUUACCAAUGCCAGUUUUGUUUCUCUAAUUUUGCUUUUAUUCCCAGUUUGCUGCAUUUCCUCUUAGAACUGUGGGUAGGGCAAGCAGUUAAAAAUGUGGUUCCUCAUGAAGAAAGGGGAGGUAUAAUGCGACACCAAACACCAAAAUCAAAAUACUUUUUAAGUGGAGUAAGGGAAGAAGGAGAUACACAGAAGAAGUCCAGAAAUCCGCAUGGGGUCCCCUGAAGCAUUUUGUAUUUCCAGCAAUCUUGGUCAAUCAUCUCCCCAAGGGUACUUCUACAUCUGAUCACAGAGAUUAAAGAUAACCCGUAAAAGAACAAUCCAGAGGACAAAAAUAUCUGAGAAUAUCAUCUUCAUAAUAAACAAGCUUCCGGGUCCUUCUUUCACCAAACCAAAAGUAAGCUCCCAACAGGAAAUUUAAAAGAAAUCCUACUGUAAACAAACUUUUGAUCAUCACUUUGUAUAUAACCUUCUAUAUUGCUCUGGUUCAUGACCUGUACCUAAACAUCUUCAUUGAAUUUCCAUUGUAAUUGUAUUUUGAACAGGGUAAAAUGAUAGAAAAUUGGUUUAUCUAGAUUUCAACUAACUCUCUUACUGACGGUUAUCUUUUUUUAGUGAAAAACCAUCAUAUAUUGAAGACUCCAGAGAAGGACUUUAAAAAAAUGUCUUCCCUUUGUCACUUUAAAAUGAAAAUACCCAGGGAAAAAUAAAGAGAAAACGUAUUUAUUACAACUGGCUGUUAUAUUAAGUCACACAAAAUGAAAUACUGCACCAUGAGCAGUUCGUUGGUAUUGUAGGUUAUUGGUCAGGUCGAGUUCAGAACGGUAGGGAGGCACCGUAUUAAGACAGCACACCACAUACACAACAUGCAAUCAGCAAGUGCAUUACUUCGGAUAUUUCACACUUCAGUAAAAAUAGGAAAGUCAUGUCAAGGAAAGCGCUGCAAGGAAGUGAAGCUGUCUUUCUUCAAUUUUUAAAAAGUUAUUAGUAAACAAUUAAAUUUAAAGAUCUUCACGGAUACUUUAGCUUGUAGCAGAAAUCCUACAACAUAAAAGUCACUUGAAAGGUUUAUAUUCUUUUACCACUUUCCUAGUUUUAGUUAACUGAAAAAAGAAAAAAGAUCUGCAGAAGGAACCGAAAGUAUCUAAAGGACUAUCACGGGUCAUAUCUAAGGAGAAAAAAAAAAACAAAAAACAACCAGUCAGGGUUGCACAAAACUGCCGAGUAGUUAGCUUUAAGCAGUUAGUCGUUUAGGUAUUUUCACUUCUUUUUUAAAAAUCUGGCUUGUAGGGGUGAGGGAACGGAGUUAGGCACCGCCGGGUAGCUGGGGAGGGUGCUCUUGGUGAGUAUGCAAUCCUAGGGCCAUGGCACCCGACCGGUUCCGGGAAGAAGGGGCCGGGACGAGAGGGGCCGAAGUAAAAAGCGACGCCAGGAGAAACUCACUUUUGAAAGGCACUUUCCGGUUG